GAAGGUAUAACUUAAGUGGAAAAGUAAUAACUUAAAACUUAAGAACCUUGGUUUAACUCCAAGUACCUUUC
RNAcentral lists this transfer RNA (71 nucleotides) under Sanghuangporus vaninii. RNAcentral describes it as "tRNA-His". It matches the Rfam family "tRNA". From Rfam's summary of the family: Transfer RNA (tRNA) molecules are approximately 80 nucleotides in length. Their secondary structure includes four short double-helical elements and three loops (D, anti-codon, and T loops). Lineage: Eukaryota; Fungi; Basidiomycota; Agaricomycetes; Hymenochaetales; Hymenochaetaceae. The record is from RNAcentral.